This 406-nucleotide ribosomal RNA is filed under the name uncultured bacterium. Its description in RNAcentral is "bacterial SSU rRNA". It matches the Rfam family "Bacterial small subunit ribosomal RNA", at positions 355 to 776 of the family's 1533-position model. The record is from RNAcentral.
UCGAGAAUCUUCCGCAAUGGGCGAAAGCCUGACGGAGCGAUGCCGCGUGAGGGAUGAAGGCCUUCGGGUUGUAAACCUCUGUCGCCCGGGACGAAACCAUGACGGUACCGGGAGAGGAAGCUACGGCUAACUACGUGCCAGCAGCCGCGGUAAUACGUAGGUAGCAAGCGUUAUUCGGAUUUACUGGGCGUAAAGGGUCCGCAGGGGGUCUGCCAAGUCCGGCGUGAAAGCCCACGGCUCAACUGUGGAACGGCGCUGGAAACUGGCGGACUAGAGUGCAUGAGGGGUGAGCAGAAUUCCUGGUGUAGCGGUGGAAUGCGCAGAUAUCAGGAGGAAUACCGAUGGCGAAGGCGGCUCACUGGCGUGCAACUGACCCUCAGGGACGAAAGCGUGGGGAGCAAACAGG